RNAcentral lists this long non-coding RNA (206 nucleotides) under Elaeis guineensis (African oil palm). Its description in RNAcentral is "long non-coding RNA (EGUI_LNC008632)". Lineage: Eukaryota; Viridiplantae; Streptophyta; Magnoliopsida; Arecales; Arecaceae. The record is from RNAcentral.
AUGCAGUACUCUAUAUUGAUUCGCCCAUUUUUUAACUCUGAUACAUUUUUUUUUUACCUUUAUUUUGAUAAUAUUUAAAAAAUUACUCUGAUCAAUCUAUUUUUUUUCUUAAAUACUCUACUAAUCUUAUUUUUGCACUGAUACCAAAUUAACUCGAUAUAUCUAUUUUUGAUUCUUGCUCAAUUUGUCUCAUUCUUGUCUUAAUA